This 497-nucleotide ribosomal RNA is filed under the name uncultured bacterium. RNAcentral's name for it is "partial 16S ribosomal RNA". It matches the Rfam family "Bacterial small subunit ribosomal RNA", at positions 28 to 507 of the family's 1533-position model. The record is from RNAcentral.
GAUGAACGCUGGCGGCGUGCCUAAUACAUGCAAGUCGAGCGAACAGACGAGGAGCUUGCUCCUCUGACGUUAGCGGCGGACGGGUGGGUAACACGUGGAUAACCUACCUAUAAGACUGGGAUAACUUCGGGAAACCGGUGCUAAUACCGGAUAAUAUAUUGAACCGCAUGGUUCAAUAGUGAAAGACGGUUUUGCUGUCACUUAUAGAUGGAUCCGCGCCGCAUUAGCUAGUUGGUAAGGUAACGGCUUACCAAGGCGACGAUGCGUAGCCGACCUGAGAGGGUGAUCGGCCACACUGGAACUGAGACACGGUCCAGACUCCUACGGGAGGCAGCAGUAGGGAAUCUUCCGCAAUGGGCGAAAGCCUGACGGAGCAACGCCGCGUGAGUGAUGAAGGUCUUCGGAUCGUAAAACUCUGUUAUUAGGGAAGAACAAAUGUGUAAGUAACUAUGCACGUCUUGACGGUACCUAAUCAGAAAGCCACGGCUAACUACGUG